AAUUCAUACUCAAUCAACAACAACAAAAAAGAUCAUGUCUGUUCUGAAGCAAAAUGCCAACAAAAACAUAGUGACAAGAAAAGCUUUAUUGACUAAAUCUAACAACGAUUCUAGAGGUAAAUUGGCGAGACAAAAGCAAAAUCGCGGUGAUACAAAUUAGUAUAUAAUCAUAGAGUUCGUCUAUAUUUCGUUUCAUUUGUGUCGCCAAUCUCUGAUUUGUAGCAACUAACUGUAGUUUGUAUUGGAGAUAAUGAUUGUCUCACAUGGAUAAUGUAUGUAUGAAUAUACGAGGGACCAUGCUUUAAUGUUAUUUCUCGUAAAAUCCUUUACAGAUUAGACAACCUUUAAAAUGCGGUUAACAAGAUCAUUAUUGGGUUAUUUUAAGAGGUAUGUGGAUCAUGAAAUAGCAACGACGAAGGGAAAGACUGUUUACAAGAAUGUUUAUGGAUGGAAGCGUGUUCAAUUUGAUUAUAAGCCAUGGGUUUAUGGUGAAGACCGACCAUGGACAGAUGCUGCCAAACAUAUGAACUUAACAAAAAAUGCAAAGGCAACGAAACUUCGAAGUACCUUAGUUGAACCCAUUAAAGAUUGGUUAAUAUUUCGCGGAGACAGGAAGAAUUUCUCCACCAAAAUGGCUGACACUGUAUCCGAAGGAAUUCUCCUUGGGCUUGGAAAUCCUCUUCUUGACAUUACUGUUGUUUGCCCAGACAACGCAUUACUCGAUAAAUAUGGUUUACUAGCUAACAAUGCUAUCAUAGCUGCAGAAGUUCACCAUCCUCUCUAUGAGGAGAUGGUGAAAAAUUACAAACCGGAAUAUUUACCUGGAGGUGCCACCCUUAAUAGUGUGCGUGUAGCACAGUGGCUUCUGCAGAAACCAAAUGCUACCACAUUUUUUGGUGGUGUAGGCCAGGAUAAAUAUGCUGAGAUUUUGAAAAAGAAGUCUAUUGAUGUUGGUGUGAACGUGCGCUAUCAAGUCCACAGUGAUGUUCAAACUGGUGUUUGUGGGGCAAUAAUAACUGGAGAAGACCGAUCACUCGUGACAGAAUUGGGGGCUGCCCAACACUUCUGCGUUGAUUUCUUGAAAAAACCUGAGAACUGGAAGUGGAGAUUUUAACUGGGAAGGAUAAAGGGAAGCAAGGCAUUGUGACUCAGAUUAUAAAGGAACGUAAUUGGUGCUAUGUAGAAGGCCUUAACUAUAAAUACGAAGAACUGUAUAAAACUGC
This 1223-nucleotide unclassified non-coding RNA is filed under the name Octopus sinensis (East Asian common octopus). Its description in RNAcentral is "adenosine kinase, transcript variant X10". Lineage: Eukaryota; Metazoa; Mollusca; Cephalopoda; Octopoda; Octopodidae. The record is from RNAcentral.